ACGGUAACAGGGGAGCUUGCUCCCGCUGACGAGUGGCGAACGGGUGAGUAAUGCAUCGGAACGUGCCGAAUAGUGGGGGAUAACGCACCGAAAGGUGUGCUAAUACCGCAUACGCCCUGAGGGGGAAAGUGGGGGACCGCAAGGCCUCACGCUAAUCGAGCGGCCGAUGUCGGAUUAGCUAGUUGGUGGGGUAAAGGCUCACCAAGGCGACGAUCCGUAGCGGGUCUGAGAGGAUGAUCCGCCACACUGGGACUGAGACACGGCCCAGACUCCUACGGGAGGCAGCAGUGGGGAAUUUUGGACAAUGGGGGAAACCCUGAUCCAGCCAUGCCGCGUGUCUGAAGAAGGCCUUCGGGUUGUAAAGGACUUUUGUCCGGGAGGAAACCCUGAUCGUUAAUAGCGGUCGGGACUGACAGUACCGGAAGAAUAAGCACCGGCUAACUACGUGCCAGCAGCCGCGGUAAUACGUAGGGUGCAAGCGUUAAUCGGAAUUACUGGGCGUAAAGCGUGCGCAGGCGGUGAGAUAAGUCAGCUGUGAAAGCCCCGGGCUCAACCUGGGAACUGCGGCC
This 569-nucleotide ribosomal RNA is filed under the name uncultured Microvirgula sp. RNAcentral describes it as "bacterial SSU rRNA". It matches the Rfam family "Bacterial small subunit ribosomal RNA", at positions 66 to 628 of the family's 1533-position model. Lineage: Bacteria; Pseudomonadati; Pseudomonadota; Betaproteobacteria; Neisseriales; Aquaspirillaceae. The record is from RNAcentral.